RNAcentral lists this transfer RNA (66 nucleotides) under Psammotettix sp. EMHAU-2015-Zz053036. Its description in RNAcentral is "tRNA-Phe". Lineage: Eukaryota; Metazoa; Arthropoda; Insecta; Hemiptera; Cicadellidae. The record is from RNAcentral.
ACUCUUAUAGCUUAAUUAAUUAGAGCAGCUUAGUGAAGUUAAGCAGGAAAUUUAUAUUUAGGGGUA